AGUGAACGCUGGCGGUAGGCCUAACACAUGCAAGUCGAACGGCAGCACAGUAAGAGCUUGCUCUUACGGGUGGCGAGUGGCGGACGGGUGAGGAAUACAUCGGAAUCUACUUUUUCGUGGGGGAUAACGUAGGGAAACUUACGCUAAUACCGCAUACGACCUACGGGUGAAAGCAGGGGAUCUUCGGACCUUGCGCGACUGAAUGAGCCGAUGUCGGAUUAGCUAGUUGGCGGGGUAAAGGCCCACCAAGGCGACGAUCCGUAGCUGGUCUGAGAGGAUGAUCAGCCACACUGGAACUGAGACACGGUCCAGACUCCUACGGGAGGCAGCAGUGGGGAAUAUUGGACAAUGGGCGCAAGCCUGAUCCAGCCAUACCGCGUGGGUGAAGAAGGCCUUCGGGUUGUAAAGCCCUUUUGUUGGGAAAGAAAAGCAGCAGGUUAAUACCCCGCUGUUCUGACGGUACCCAAAGAAUAAGCACCGGCUAACUUCGU
Molecule: ribosomal RNA, 491 nt
Filed under: uncultured bacterium
Lineage: Bacteria
Description: partial 16S ribosomal RNA
Rfam family: Bacterial small subunit ribosomal RNA
Source: RNAcentral